GCAGCGCCCACUGCGUGCAGGGGGCGUGGUCCUCGGGGUCCCGGAAGGUAGGGAAUUGUGGACAGGGGUCACUCUGCCAAACUAGGAUUUCUCACUACUCCUCUCUACCCAGCCGCCCUCCAAUGACCCGGCCGCUUUGGGCGCAGGAAGCCGAUGCAGUUCCUCCGCGUUUUUCCCUGGAACCCAACUCGGAGGCAGCUGGCACGAGGGCGAACCAUAAGUGCGGGUAGAACGAAUGAAUGAACACUACACGGAAUAUUUAAACAAGAAAGAAAGAAAGUGCAUCCCCAGGAAUCGCUGCCUGACUUGUACAACCCUGUAGCCCCGGGAGGAGAGCAUCUCUCCGCUGGGGGAUGAAACUGCUUCGGACCUGGCCGGGGUGGAAGUUUGCCUUCCCCAUCCUAUUUGUCCUUUCGCUAUCUGAGAGUUCUGAGAUUCGGUCCACCGCCUGCCCGUGUCCUGCCCGGACAAGCCCCACGUGGGCUGGCUUCUAGCUGGUCCUCCGAGUCUCACCCCGGAGGGGUCAAGCAGGCCGUGCCCCACGGGCUGGCGGGCCCGGGCGCGCUCCCUGCUUCUGGGGCGCGGCUGGAAGUCCUCGCCCUCCCACCAGGCCCGCCGGCCGGGUCAAGCGGGUCACCCCCUGCUGCCGGCCGGCGCCGGCGCCUCCCGGCCGGUCCCACCUCCUCGCGCAGCUCACAGGCCGGAGCCAGGCGGUCCGGGCCGGCCGGGGCUCACCUGGGCGGCGCUCGCAGCCGAGCUCAGACAGGGGCUCACCCCGCACUGCAAACGCCCUACUGCCUAGGCUGAAAGCCCCGCGCUCGCCGGGAUCUACACACAUUUUCCUUUAGAGGCGCCGGUUCCGGGCCAGCCCCAAGCUAGACCGCGGGGAGAGCUGCCCACGCGCCUCGGAAGUUCUCCGAGAAAUCCUGUUGAGCUCGAGUGAGAAAAGCGGCCCAGAAAUGGCCCGGGAAUAGGAAAGAAAAGACGAACCUGCUUCCUCCGAAAGGGAGGGAUUCGACUCAAGGUGGUGCUGUCUGCCGAGAUUUCCACUAUCCCCAGCAUCACGGCCCAGGCCCAGGGGCACGGGGGCUGGAAGGGGUGGGCCUAGAGCCCGCAGAGAACCAACCAGUAGCUGCAGAAAAUGAAGCUGAGCUGCUAAAGGGAAACAGAUUCUUCUAUAGAAAAGCACUCAUGGGCAGUAGUAACCCAUCUAAACCUAACACACGAAAUCGGUUGUGGCAUUAUACCCAUUUCACAGCUGUGGACACCAAGGUGCAGAGUGGUUAAGUGACUGGCUCAAUACCCAAUUUUAAGUGAUGGAUCUGGGAUUUGAACCCAAGAAGCCCAGCUGCGAGCAAUGCUCUUGCACCCCAGCCAGUGGUGGCAAACCUGUGGCACAGGUGCUGCAGUGGGCUGUUUAUCAUCAAAAGCUCUAAAAGUUUCACCAUUACUGCCACUAGGUUAUUGUCACUCUUAAUCGUGCUUAGAGUUGUCAGAUUUAGUAAAGAUAACAGGAUGUUUAUGGGGAUAUGCUUAUACUAAAAUUUCUUUUGUUUUUAAAAUCUGAAAUUCAAAUCGAAUGUCUUGAGUUGAGGGGGCACUCUAGGCCCUUCGCCUUAGUCUUCCUCCUCAUCUCAGAUGAAUCUAGUCUAAAUCAGAAAAAUCCUUGAACUUUGUUUUAUAAAUUACCUGCUGGCCCCACUGCACUGCCUGAUUUUGCAGUACAAUGUCAUGCUUCCUGUUUGACCUUUGUGGAACCCCAAGAUAUUGGAGUCCCUCCUGUCUCCUCAGAAGGGAAGUCAGACCCACCGUGGUGCUUUACCACAGAUGUAUGCUGCACGCCAUGGAUAUAACUGAAAAUUGUCUAGUACUGGCCAAUAGAGGGUUAAAAAAAAGCAGAUGGGGUUAGUUUUCCUAAUGUAGCUUAUUUAACCAGUAUACCCAAAUUAUCAUCUCUUCAGUAUAUAUUCAAUAUAAAAAUUAUUAGUGAGUUUUUCUACAUUCUUUUUUUUUUUUCUUUUUUGUUUUGGUACUGGGGAUCGAACUCAGGACCUUUCGCUUUUGAGGCAGGCAGCAGAACCACU
This 2084-nucleotide long non-coding RNA is filed under the name Heterocephalus glaber (naked mole-rat). Its description in RNAcentral is "lncRNA (ENSHGLG00100045236.1)". Lineage: Eukaryota; Metazoa; Chordata; Mammalia; Rodentia; Bathyergidae. The record is from RNAcentral.